Molecule: long non-coding RNA, 819 nt
Organism: Culex pipiens pallens (northern house mosquito)
Lineage: Eukaryota; Metazoa; Arthropoda; Insecta; Diptera; Culicidae
Exons: 3
Source: RefSeq, a predicted model, not a curated record
AUGAGUGCAUGCUCGAUGUGCGCGUAUGCGAGUGUAUGCGAUGUGCUUAAACGUGCAUAAUUGAACAAGAUGGCCACAGUGGAAUAAAAUGCGUGCGGUGUCGGGUUUUCUUUUAAAAAGUUUUCUUUUAAAAAGUAGUUUUUUGCAAGUUUUUUGUGCAUAAUCGGUCGGUCUGAUUAAUUAAAUCUUAUAGCAAAGCUUCAACGACAAUGUCCGGCGUCCGGGAACCUCGCUCGCGGUCCCGCGAACUCUGAGAACUGGGAGAACCCGCCGUCCUGAAGUUGAGCUGGUGAAGCACUGGCGGCGGAAGAGAUUUAGAGACUGCAUGAGGCCUCGAUUGAACGGUAAACUCGCGUGAAGAAGCGGUUUCAGGACGAUGGCGCCCGGGGAGAUGUUGCACAAACGAGUUUCACCACCCACCGUGGCCGCCGUGAUUGUCUUUGUAGUAGUACAAGCUGCAGUCGCACCAAUCGAAAUUAGCAGACGGCGAAAAGUCGACGAUCCGGAUAAUGUCCCGACUCUUCAACACGCCGCGGUCAAAUAACUAUAAACAUGAGUGCCAGGGAGCAGCGGACCCGAACCAUCGCCCUGACUACACUCCUGGCUUAGCGGCAGCUCGAGCAUCGCAUCACGGUGGAUAACCUUCUCCGCGAUCUUGACCUGGCCCGGUACUUCCUGGUCAUCUGACGCUGUCCGAGGAUGAUAUGCACACGAACGGGUUCGACUAUCAGCGAGAUUUCGAGCAGAUUCUUGACAAGGUGGCCAGAUUCGGGAUGAGAAAAAUGCUUUAGUGUUUCAAUUAUUUAUGCUAAUGUAUGU